This 395-nucleotide ribosomal RNA is filed under the name uncultured bacterium. RNAcentral's name for it is "bacterial SSU rRNA". It matches the Rfam family "Bacterial small subunit ribosomal RNA", at positions 505 to 898 of the family's 1533-position model. The record is from RNAcentral.
GUGUCAGCAGCCGCGGUAAGACGGGGGAUGCAAGUGUUAUCCGGAUUUACUGGGCGUAAAGCGUCUGCAGGUGGUUUCUUAAGUCUACUGUUAAAUCUUGAGGCUCAACCUCAAAUCUGCAGUAGAAACUAGGAGACUUGAGUAUAGUAGGGGUAGAGGGAAUUUCCAGUGGAGCGGUGAAAUGCGUAGAUAUUGGAAAGAACACCGAUGGCGAAGGCACUCUACUGGGCUAUUACUGACACUCAGAGACGAAAGCUAGGGGAGCAAAUGGGAUUAGAUACCCCAGUAGUCCUAGCCGUAAACGAUGGAUACUCGAUGUUGGACGUAUCGACCCGUUCAGUAUCUUAGCUAACGCGUUAAGUAUCCCGCCUGGGGAGUACGCUCGCAAGAGUGAA